CCUGCAGCGUAGCCGCACAGAGGCAUCAGGACAGCCACCACAUAGACAGAGGGAGGGAUGGUGGACAGGAGCUCCGGCCCCAGCAUCGCUCCAGUGAGGAUGAACAGCAUCACAAGGGUGACCAACAGAGACCACAGAGAUGCCUGGAAUUACAGUAUUUAAGGAUACGAACCACACAAUGUGAUCCCGUGAGUGAAACCUGCUGAAGUAUCAGGCCGUGGUGCCUCACGCAGCGGCUGAGCGUCCAGGGAGAAUAAUCGCACUGACGUCAAAUGUCUUCAGGGCGCUGAGGCUGGAGUGGGACGGGACAGUUUGCACCAGUCAGUGACUCAGGCUUUCAUCCGUCUCCUUCUGUUCCCAGAGACACGCCGUGUCCCCCAUUAACCAGCGUCUGACUCCAGAUGACUGCAGGCAAACCAAGGCAGGUGAUGUGUCCUCUGCUGGCCGAGCUGGAGUCGGGCUGGUUUCUUUGGCAUUUCCUGGGCAGUCUGCACUACAUGCCUGACCCCUCCAGAGCCGGAGCCCACAGAGAAACAACGAUGAAAGGUCCUCUUUUGGCCUGAUGUGGAUACUGUCCUCUCCAUU
This is a long non-coding RNA of Scatophagus argus, 585 nucleotides long. RefSeq lists it as uncharacterized. Lineage: Eukaryota; Metazoa; Chordata; Actinopteri; Scatophagidae. The record is from RefSeq and is a predicted model, not a curated record. The transcript has 3 exons.